UACGUAGGGGGCAAGCGUUGUCCGGAUUUAUUGGGCGUAAAGAGCUCGUAGGCGGUUCCGUAAGUCGGAUGUGAAAAAUCUGGGCUCAACCCAGUGGAGCACCCGAUACUGCGGUGACUCGAGUCCGGUAGGGGAGUGUGGAAUUCACGGUGUAGCAGUGAAAUGCGUAGAUAUCGUGAGGAACACCAGAGGCGAAGGCGGCUACCUGGACAAUUGCUGACGCUCAGGCACGAAAGCGUGGGGAGCAAAAGGG
RNAcentral lists this ribosomal RNA (253 nucleotides) under uncultured bacterium. Its description in RNAcentral is "partial 16S ribosomal RNA". It matches the Rfam family "Bacterial small subunit ribosomal RNA", at positions 524 to 776 of the family's 1533-position model. The record is from RNAcentral.